GGGACACGUGGUAUCCUGUCUGAAUAUGGGGGGACCAUCCUCCAAGGCUAAAUACUCCUGACUGACCGAUAGUGAACCAGUACCGUGAGGGAAAGGCGAAAAGAACCCCGGCGAGGGGAGUGAAAAAGAACCUGAAACCGUGUACGUACAAGCAGUGGGAGCCUCUUAAUGGGGUGACUGCGUACCUUUUGUAUAAUGGGUCAGCGACUUAUAUUCUGUAGCAAGGUUAACCGAAUAGGGGAGCCGAAGGGAAACCGAGUCUUAACUGGGCGUUAAGUUGCAGGGUAUAGACCCGAAACCCGGUGAUCUAGCCAUGGGCAGGUUGAAGGUUGGGUAACACUAACUGGAGGACCGAACCGACUAAUGUUGAAAAAUUAGCGGAUGACUUGUGGCUGGGGGUGAAAGGCCAAUCAAACCGGGAGAUAGCUGGUUCUCCCCGAAAGCUAUUUAGGUAGCGCCUCGUGAAUUCAUCUCCGGGGGUAGAGCACUGUUUCGGCAAGGGGGUCAUCCCGACUUACCAACCCGAUGCAAACUGCGAAUACCGGAGAAUGUUAUCACGGGAGACACACGGCGGGUGCUAACGUCCGUCGUGAAGAGGGAAACAACCCAGACCGCCAGCUAAGGUCCCAAAGUCAUGGUUAAGUGGGAAACGAUGUGGGAAGGCCCAGACAGCCAGGAUGUUGGCUUAGAAGCAGCCAUCAUUUAAAGAAAGCGUAAUAGCUCACUGGUCGAGUCGGCCUGCGCGGAAGAUGUAACGGGGCUAAACCAUGCACCGAAGCUGCGGCAGCGACACUAUGUGUUGUUGGGUAGGGGAGCGUUCUGUAAGCCUGUGAAGGUGGCCUGUGAGGGUUGCUGGAGGUAUCAGAAGUGCGAAUGCUGACAUAAGUAACGAUAAAGCGGGUGAAAAGCCCGCUCGCCGGAAGACCAAGGGUUCCUGUCCAACGUUAAUCGGGGCAGGGUGAGUCGACCCCUAAGGCGAGGCCGAAAGGCGUAGUCGAUGGGAAACAGGUUAAUAUUCCUGUACUUGGUGUUACUGCGAAGGGGGGACGGAGAAGGCUAUGUUGGCCGGGCGACGGUUGUCCCGGUUUAAGCGUGUAGGCUGGUUUUCCAGGCAAAUCCGGAAAACCAAGGCUGAGGCGUGAUGACGAGGCACUACGGUGCUGAAGCGACAAAUGCCCUGCUUCCAGGAAAAGCCUCUAAGCAUCAGGUAACAUCAAAUCGUACCCCAAACCGACACAGGUGGUCAGGUAGAGAAUACCAAGGCGCUUGAGAGAACUCGGGUGAAGGAACUAGGCAAAAUGGUGCCGUAACUUCGGGAGAAGGCACGCUGAUAUGUAGGUGAAGCGACUUGCUCGUGGAGCUGAAAUCAGUCGAAGAUACCAGCUGGCUGCAACUGUUUAUUAAAAACACAGCACUGUGCAAACACGAAAGUGGACGUAUACGGUGUGACGCCUGCCCGGUGCCGGAAGGUUAAUUGAUGGGGUUAGCGGUAACGCGAAGCUCUUGAUCGAAGCCCCGGUAAACGGCGGCCGUAACUAUAACGGUCCUAAGGUAGCGAAAUUCCUUGUCGGGUAAGUUCCGACCUGCACGAAUGGCGUAAUGAUGGCCAGGCUGUCUCCACCCGAGACUCAGUGAAAUUGAACUCGCUGUGAAGAUGCAGUGUACCCGCGGCAAGACGGAAAGACCCCGUGAACCUUUACUAUAGCUUGACACUGAACAUUGAGCCUUG
RNAcentral lists this ribosomal RNA (1729 nucleotides) under Escherichia coli. RNAcentral's name for it is "partial 23S ribosomal RNA". It matches the Rfam family "Bacterial large subunit ribosomal RNA", at positions 419 to 2133 of the family's 2925-position model. The record is from RNAcentral. Lineage: Bacteria; Pseudomonadati; Pseudomonadota; Gammaproteobacteria; Enterobacterales; Enterobacteriaceae.